This 468-nucleotide ribosomal RNA is filed under the name uncultured bacterium. Its description in RNAcentral is "partial 16S ribosomal RNA". It matches the Rfam family "Bacterial small subunit ribosomal RNA", at positions 28 to 507 of the family's 1533-position model. The record is from RNAcentral.
GACGAACGCUGGCGGCGUGCUUAACACAUGCAAGUCGAACGGAAAGGCCCUGCUUUUGUGGGGUGCUCGAGUGGCGAACGGGUGAGUAACACGUGAGUAACCUGCCCUUGACUUUGGGAUAACUUCAGGAAACUGGGGCUAAUACCGGAUAGGAGCUCCUGCUGCAUGGUGGGGGUUGGAAAGUUUCGGCGGUUGGGGAUGGACUCGCGGCUUAUCAGCUUGUUGGUGGGGUAGUGGCUUACCAAGGCUUUGACGGGUAGCCGGGCUGAGAGGGUGACCGGCCACAUUGGGACUGAGAUACGGCCCAGACUCCUACGGGAGGCAGCAGUGGGGAAUAUUGCACAAUGGGCGGAAGCCUGAUGCAGCAACGCCGCGUGCGGGAUGACGGCCUUCGGGUUGUAAACCGCUUUCGCCUGAGACGAAGCGUGAGUGACGGUAAUGGGUAAAGAAGCACCGGCUAACUACGUG